UACGUAGGUGGCAAGCGUUAUCCGGAAUUAUUGGGCGUAAAGCGCGUGUAGGCGGUCCGGUAAGUCCGCUGUGAAAGUCGGGGGCUCAACCCUGGAAAGCCGGUGGAUACUGUCGGGCUAGAGUCCGGAAGAGGCGAGUGGAAUUCCUGGUGUAGCGGUGGAAUGCGCAGAUAUCAGGAGGAACACCGAUGGCGAAGGCAGCUCGCUGGGACGGUACUGACGCUGAGACGCGAAAGCGUGGGGAGCAAACAGG
RNAcentral lists this ribosomal RNA (253 nucleotides) under uncultured bacterium. RNAcentral describes it as "partial 16S ribosomal RNA". It matches the Rfam family "Bacterial small subunit ribosomal RNA", at positions 524 to 776 of the family's 1533-position model. The record is from RNAcentral.